Molecule: ribosomal RNA, 484 nt
Filed under: uncultured bacterium
Lineage: Bacteria
Description: partial 16S ribosomal RNA
Rfam family: Bacterial small subunit ribosomal RNA
Source: RNAcentral
GAUGAACGCUGGCGGCGUGCUUAACACAUGCAAGUCGAACGGUGAAGCAGGAGCUUGCUCUCGUGGAUCAGUGGCGAACGGGUGAGUAACACGUGAGCAACCUGCCCCUGACUCUGGGAUAAGCGCAGGAAACGGCGUCUAAUACUGGAUAUGUGAUGUGACCGCAUGGUCUGCAUCUGGCAAUACUUUCGGAUGGGGAUGGGCUCGCGGCCUAUCAGCUUGUUGGUGAGGUAAUGGCUCACCCAGGCGUGGACGGGUAGCGGGCCUGUGAGGGUGGCCGGCCACACUGGGACUGAGACACGGCCCGGACUCCUACGGGAGGCAGCAGUGGGGAAUAUUGCACAAUGGGCGGAAGCCUGAUGCAGCAACGCCGCGUGAGGGAUGACGGCCUUCGGGUUGUAAACUUAUUUUAGCAGGGAAGAAGCGAAAGUGACGGUACCUGCAGAAAAAGCACCGGCUAACUACGUGCCAGCCGCCGCCGUAA